Molecule: ribosomal RNA, 497 nt
Filed under: uncultured bacterium
Lineage: Bacteria
Description: partial 16S ribosomal RNA
Rfam family: Bacterial small subunit ribosomal RNA
Source: RNAcentral
GAUGAACGCUGGCGGCGUGCCUAAUACAUGCAAGUCGAGCGAACGGACGAGAAGCUUGCUUCUCUGAUGUUAGCGGCGGACGGGUGAGUAACACGUGGAUAACCUACCUAUAAGACUGGGAUAACUUCGGGAAACCGGAGCUAAUACCGGAUAAUAUUUUGAACCGCAUGGUUCAAAAGUGAAAGACGGUCUUGCUGUCACUUAUAGAUGGAUCCGCGCUGCAUUAGCUAGUUGGUAAGGUAACGGCUUACCAAGGCAACGAUGCAUAGCCGACCUGAGAGGGUGAUCGGCCACACUGGAAGUGAGACGCGGUCCAGACUCCUACGGGAGGCAGCAGUAGGGAAUCUUACGCAAUGGGCGAAAGCCUGACGGAGCAACGCCGCGUGAGUGAUGAAGGUCUUCGGAUCGUAAAACUCUGUUAUUAGGGAAGAACAUAUGUGUAAGUAACUGUGCACAUCUUGACGGUACCUAAUCAGAAAGCCACGGCUAACUACGUG